CACGUAGGGACCAAGCGUUGUCCGGAUUCAUUGGGCGUAAAGAGCUCGUAGGCGGUUCGAUAAGUCGGGUGUGAAACCUCCAGGCUCAACCUGGAGACGCCACCCGAUACUGUCGUGACUAGAGUUCAGUAGGGGAGCGUGGAAUUCCUGGUGUAGCGGUGAAAUGCGCAGAUAUCAGGAGGAACACCAGCGGCGAAGGCGGCGCUCUGGGCUGGAACUGACGCUGAGGAGCGAAAGCGUGGGGAGCGAACAGG
RNAcentral lists this ribosomal RNA (254 nucleotides) under uncultured bacterium. RNAcentral describes it as "partial 16S ribosomal RNA". It matches the Rfam family "Bacterial small subunit ribosomal RNA", at positions 524 to 776 of the family's 1533-position model. The record is from RNAcentral.